AAACUCUGGUGGAAGCCCGCAGCGAU
RNAcentral lists this small nuclear RNA (26 nucleotides) under Arabidopsis thaliana (thale cress). Its description in RNAcentral is "snRNA_14697". The record is from RNAcentral. Lineage: Eukaryota; Viridiplantae; Streptophyta; Magnoliopsida; Brassicales; Brassicaceae.